This 463-nucleotide ribosomal RNA is filed under the name Vreelandella stevensii. RNAcentral's name for it is "partial 16S ribosomal RNA". It matches the Rfam family "Bacterial small subunit ribosomal RNA", at positions 338 to 793 of the family's 1533-position model. The record is from RNAcentral. Lineage: Bacteria; Pseudomonadati; Pseudomonadota; Gammaproteobacteria; Oceanospirillales; Halomonadaceae.
CCUACGGGUGGCAGCAGUGGGGAAUAUUGGACAAUGGGGGCAACCCUGAUCCAGCCAUGCCGCGUGUGUGAAGAAGGCCCUCGGGUUGUAAAGCACUUUCAGUGAGGAAGAACGCCUGGUGGUUAAUACCCAUCAGGAAAGACAUCACUCACAGAAGAAGCACCGACUAACUCCGUGCCAGCAGCCGCGGUAAUACGGAGGGUGCGAGCGUUAAUCGGAAUUACUGGGCGUAAAGCGCGCGUAGGUGGCUUGAUAAGCCGGUUGUGAAAGCCCCGGGCUCAACCUGGGAACGGCAUCCGGAACUGUCAAGCUAGAGUGCAGGAGAGGAAGGUAGAAUUCCCGGUGUAGCGGUGAAAUGCGUAGAGAUCGGGAGGAAUACCAGUGGCGAAGGCGGCCUUCUGGACUGACACUGACACUGAGGUGCGAAAGCGUGGGUAGCAAACAGGAUUAGAUACCCGGGUAG